Tupaia belangeri (northern tree shrew) is the source of this 104-nucleotide small nuclear RNA. Lineage: Eukaryota; Metazoa; Chordata; Mammalia; Scandentia; Tupaiidae. The record is from Ensembl.
GUGCUCUCUUCAGCCACACAUGCACUAAAAUUGGAACGAAGCAAAGAUUAGCAUGGCCCCAGCAUGGGGAUGACACACGAGUUGAUGAAGCACUCCAUAUUUUU